RNAcentral lists this ribosomal RNA (429 nucleotides) under uncultured bacterium. RNAcentral's name for it is "bacterial SSU rRNA". It matches the Rfam family "Bacterial small subunit ribosomal RNA", at positions 917 to 1344 of the family's 1533-position model. The record is from RNAcentral.
GGGCCCGCACAAGCGGUGGAGUAUGUGGUUUAAUUCGAUGCAACGCGAAGAACCUUACCAACACUUGACAUGUUCGUCGCGACUUUAAGAGAUUAAAGUUUUCGGUUCGGCCGGACGAAACACAGGUGCUGCAUGGCUGUCGUCAGCUCGUGUCGUGAGAUGUUGGGUUAAGUCCCGCAACGAGCGCAACCCUCACUUUUAGUUGCCAUCAUUUAGUUGGGCACUCUGAAAGAACUGCCAGUGAUAAGCUGGAGGAAGGUGGGGAUGACGUCAAGUCCUCAUGGCCCUUACGUGUUGGGCUACACACGUGCUACAAUGGUAUCUACAACAGGAAGCAAGACGGCGACGUUAAGCAAAUCCUUAAAAGAUACCUCAGUUCGGAUUGCACUCUGCAACUCGAGUGCAUGAAGCUGGAAUUACUAGUAAUCG